UACGUAGGGUGCGAGCGUUAAUCGGAAUUACUGGGCGUAAAGCGUGCGCAGGCGGUUUUGUAAGCCAGAUGUGAAAUCCCCGGGCUUAACCUGGGAAUGGCAUUUGGGACUGCAAGGCUCGAGUGCGGUAGAGGAGACUGGAAUUCCUGGUGUAGCAGUGAAAUGCGUAGAUAUCAGGAGGAACACCGGUGGCGAAGGCGGUGAUCUGGGCCGGCACUGACGCUGAGGAGCGAAAGCGUGGGUAGCAAACAGG
This 253-nucleotide ribosomal RNA is filed under the name uncultured bacterium. Its description in RNAcentral is "partial 16S ribosomal RNA". It matches the Rfam family "Bacterial small subunit ribosomal RNA", at positions 524 to 776 of the family's 1533-position model. The record is from RNAcentral.